This 875-nucleotide ribosomal RNA is filed under the name uncultured euryarchaeote. RNAcentral describes it as "bacterial SSU rRNA". It matches the Rfam family "Archaeal small subunit ribosomal RNA", at positions 468 to 1341 of the family's 1478-position model. RNAcentral also lists the same sequence under 1 other name. The record is from RNAcentral. Lineage: Archaea; Methanobacteriati; Methanobacteriota.
CGGUAAAACCAGCUCUUCAAGUGUUCAGGACUUUUAUUGAGCUUAAAGCACCCGUAGCGGGCCUCGCAAGUCCCCGGUUUAAAUCCACGUGCUCAACCCGUGGCCGGCUGGGGAUACUACAAGGCUUGGGAGCGGGAGAGGCAGCGGGUACCCAUGGGGUAGCGGUGAAAUGCGAUAAUCCCAUGGGGACCACCGGUGGCGAAAGCGCGCUGCUAGAACGCGUCCGACCGUCAUGGGUGAAAGCCUGGGUAGCGAACGGGAUUAGAUACCCCGGUAGUCCAGGCUGUAAACGAUGCCCGUUAAGUGUGGCACUAGCCAAGAGCUAGCGCCGUGCUGCAGCGAAAGCGUUAAACGGGCCGCUUGGGAAGUACGAUCGCAAGGUUGAAACUUAAAGGAAUUGACGGGGGAAUACCACAAGGGGUGAAGCCUGCGGUUUAAUUGGACUCAACGCCGGGAAACUUACCAGGGGCGAUAGCUGAAUGAAGGACAGACUGACGAUCUUUCCUGACUGGCUAAGAGGUAGUGCAUGGCCAUCGCCAGUUCGUGCCGCGAGGUGUCUUGUUAAGUCAAGCAACGAACGAAACCCGUGCCGCUAAUUGCAACCGUUGGCGUUAUGACGCUCCGGGCACAUUAGCGGGAUUGCCGCUGCUAAAGCGGAUGAAAGAACGGGCCACGGUAGGUCAGUAUGCUCCGAAUCCACCUGGGCCACACGCGGGCUGCAAAGGCAGGUACAAUGGGCUGCUACGUCGAGAGACGACGCUAAUCUCGAAAGCCUGUCUCAGUUGGGAUUGUGGGCUGCAACUCGCCCUCAUGAACUUGGAAUCCCUAGUAGUCGCAUGUCAUCAUCAUGCGGCGAAUGUGUCUCUUUCCUUGCA